Molecule: ribosomal RNA, 640 nt
Filed under: uncultured bacterium
Lineage: Bacteria
Description: bacterial SSU rRNA
Rfam family: Bacterial small subunit ribosomal RNA
Source: RNAcentral
AGUCGAACGGCAGCACGGAGCUUGCUCUGGUGGCGAGUGGCGAACGGGUGAGUAAUAUAUCGGAACGUACCCUGGAGUGGGGGAUAACGUAGCGAAAGUUACGCUAAUACCGCAUACGAUCUAAGGAUGAAAGUGGGGGAUCGCAAGACCUCAUGCUCGUGGAGCGGCCGAUAUCUGAUUAGCUAGUUGGUAGGGUAAAAGCCUACCAAGGCAUCGAUCAGUAGCUGGUCUGAGAGGACGACCAGCCACACUGGAACUGAGACACGGUCCAGACUCCUACGGGAGGCAGCAGUGGGGAAUUUUGGACAAUGGGCGAAAGCCUGAUCCAGCAAUGCCGCGUGAGUGAAGAAGGCCUUCGGGUUGUAAAGCUCUUUUGUCAGGGAAGAAACGGUGAAGGCUAAUAUCCUUUGCUAAUGACGGUACCUGAAGAAUAAGCACCGGCUAACUACGUGCCAGCAGCCGCGGUAAUACGUAGGGUGCAAGCGUUAAUCGGAAUUACUGGGCGUAAAGCGUGCGCAGGCGGUUUUGUAAGUCUGAUGUGAAAUCCCCGGGCUCAACCUGGGAAUUGCAUUGGAGACUGCAAGGCUAGAAUCUGGCAGAGGGGGGUAGAAUUCCACGUGUAGCAGUGAAAUGCGUAGAU